Molecule: long non-coding RNA, 1700 nt
Organism: Sebastes umbrosus (honeycomb rockfish)
Lineage: Eukaryota; Metazoa; Chordata; Actinopteri; Perciformes; Sebastidae
Exons: 11
Source: RefSeq, a predicted model, not a curated record
UGUUUUCACUUGUUGCCUGAUUAGACCUCCUCUCAGGACUCUGUGGGCAUGAACACAUUGUGAUUAACUGACAGCACUCACUCACCUGUUAAGUUUUGUUGCAUCUUUCAGGGCAGAAAAACACCUUUUACUUAUUAUUUGUACAGGUGUUUUGUCAGCUGUAGAGGAGGGGAGGGGCUUUGAUGAAAAAGAAUGGUCAGCACCACCUCAUCCUGACAGACCAAACACACCGUCCAAGGGAAAAAACAGGAUGCGCCGCUGCGGAUGACGUCAUGCCCUCGACUGGACGAGUAGCUGUAACAACCAACGAGGGAGCGAGUGAAAGAAUAAAGAAGCACAAGCCUGUGCCCUGAGAACCGUUGGCCCUAAUGGAACUACAGCAUGUUCUCUGCUCACCAUCGACUGUCUGGCAACCAACGUGGGAAGAUAGCAAGUAUCAUCCAUCUCACCAUCUGUUUCCAGUCUGAUCUCGAGCGCACAGCUGAUAGAUGGAAGAACUGGUGGGUCCGAGGCAUCCUCACACUAGCCAUGAUCUUCUUCUUCAUCAUCCACCUGGGCCCCAUGGUUCUUCUGAUGAUUGUGAGUACAAACAAUGCUGAUGGUGCUGUGCUAAAGCUUGGACACUUCUUGAGUUACCUUACAGAAAAUGUGUUGCUUCACUGGAGUGAAACACCUACUUACAGUCCGGACUGUUUUUACCCUUUCUAAGAAGAUAUCGCAGAUCUGGUUACUUCAUAAGCAGUACCACUCCCUUUUCGUUGGAGAUCUACUCGCUGCCCUGCGAGGCCUCACUCGGCUCGCUGACCUUAAGAUAACGCCUCGGAGACACUUCAAGCCCGGGAUGCACAGGGGGGCGCACCACCGGCUGCUGAAUAGUCAGCCCACCUUUUUCCUGUCCUGGCAUCCUGAGGGUCACCCGAGUGAGGAAGACGUCAGCAUCGCUGCCGCCGUCACCAUCAUCGACACUAACAUCAUCAUCAUCUAUGGAAGGCCAAAGUCAGCCCACCUUUUUCCUGACCUGGCAUCCGAAGGACACCCAAGUGAGUGAGACGUCAGCGUCACCGUUGCUGUCCCCCGCCACCAUCAUUGACACCAACAUCAUCAUCAUCUAUGGAAGGUGCAGCCGAGAGUGGACAAGGAAAUGCCAUGGCCCAAUGAGCCAGAAUGCAGGGGUCGCUGUCGUCAUAGAGACUGGCCACUGAUACAGCCAAUUACAAACCAGGUCUUGCAGAAGGAUGGCACUGGGCAGGAACGUCAAACAGCGGUGGACAAGUCAGGUUGGUCAAUAAGAGAGACAUCGUUUGAAUCUACUUGCUGCUGUUUAGAUCCUAAGGGUCCGAUAGUGGUCUGUACAACUAGCACUUGAGCUCAAAUUUACUUCAUGCAUUCGUGUAGCCACAUGGGCAAGUGUGACGCAAAUUUUGUCAUCUUCUUGCGGAACAUAUCUGCGUACACAGACACCCAAUGUGGUAUGCAGAGAAAUGUGCCCGCUGUCCUUUUUUGAGUACUUGUCAGCGCCUUUUACAAUGUAAUCAGCGAGUAACAAGUUGGUUGGAGGCAGGGGUUUGCUCUAGACCUGCGCAACUCGUCUCACAAUAUGUUUUUACCUUACAAAAUAUUCUGCAUCAGUCCAUAUCUGUUGCCGUAUAGCCUUUCAAAUACAAUAUUUUCACUACGGUCAAAAAACAUCAUAAAAUAAU